AGGAGGAGCGCAGGAUCCUGGGCUGUGUCCCCAGCGCCCUGGGCUCUGGGGCCUGUGCUGCUGGAAUCAUGCUCCCAGGGGCGCAGCUCCCA
This 92-nucleotide microRNA precursor is filed under the name Canis lupus familiaris (dog). Its description in RNAcentral is "mir-8799 microRNA precursor family". It matches the Rfam family "mir-8799 microRNA precursor family". The record is from Rfam by way of RNAcentral. Lineage: Eukaryota; Metazoa; Chordata; Mammalia; Carnivora; Canidae. RNAcentral also lists the same sequence under 1 other name.